GAGUCUGGGCAGGUGACAGAUGACGACAUUGGUAAUAUAAGUCAGAAGGUCAGUACAAUUCUUAAUGAAGAAUUCUUGGCCAGCAAAGAUUAUGUUCCCAAAAGACGUGACUGGCUUUCUGCUUACUGGACGGGAUUCAAGUCACCUGAACAAAUUUCACGUGUUCGGAACACUGGGUAUUUUGGCUUCUUUGUCAAUUUCAACUUUCAUUUUGGUAUCUCUUACGUGUACUUGCUGAUGGAACUUGCAUGUUAUGCAGGGUUAAACCCGAGAUAUUGAAGAAUGUUGGCAAAGCAAUCACAACCCUCCCAGAUAAUUUUAAGCCUCAUAGAGCAGUGAAGAAGGUUUAUGAACAACGUGCGCAGAUGAUUGAGACAGGGGAGGGCCUUGACUGGGCUAUGGGUGAAGCACUUGCAUUUGCUACCUUGCUGGUGGAGGGUAACCAUGUUAGGUUGAGUGGUCAGGAUGUUGAAAGGGGUACAUUCAGUCAUCGGCAUUCUGUGAUUCACGAUCAGGAAACAGGGGAACAGUAUUGCCCUCUGGACCAUGUUAUCAUCAACCAAAAUGAGGAGAUGUUUACUGUCAGCAAUAGGUAACCCUUUUAAUGCUUUGGACUUUGUGCAAUAGCUAAUUUUUCAGUCCACCUAAUACGUGUUCUCUGAUAGUGACUGUACAAGAUGUGGUUAUGUAUUUGACUAAUUUGUCUUGGAAAUCCUUUAAGAGGAAGAGAAGCCAUCUAUAUUUUACAUUUUCAAGGAAAAUAGUAAAAAGUAAAAAAGGAAGAAAAAGACACCUUUAUUUGUGUAACUAUUUGAUAUUAAGGCUAAUUUGGAAUCUAUUUAUGUAGAUAUUCCAAAUUAAACAUCAAUUGUGCUCUGCAUUAUGGCUUAGCUUAUUGAGAACUUUUGCACUUGACUGCACCUUAUACUUGGAAUUUGGUUUCUAUGUGGUUCACUCUAUGCAAUGUGUACAAGUUCAGAAUUUUAAGUUGAUCUUUCACUUGCAAACUUACUGUUCUCUUCUUUAUGUGGCGAUAUUUUUGCUUCUCGUGCAAAUUUAUGUCCCUGCUGGAGAAUUGUUUGAUUGUGCAUUUUAGUUUUGUGUGGCAUUUUUACUUUUGAUCUUUUUGUUAAUUUUGGAUUCUUUUUCUGAGCAACAUGUGGUCUUUGAGUGCAGUUCUCUUUCUGAGUUUGGUGUGCUUGGAUUCGAAUUGGGUUACUCGAUGGAGAAUCCAAAUUCAUUGGUUAUGUGGGAAGCUCAGUUUGGUGACUUUGCUAAUGGUGCUCAAGUGAUAUUUGAUCAGUUUAUAAGUAGCGGGGAGGCAAAGUGGCUGCGUCAAACUGGUCUCGUUGUGCUGCUUCCCCAUGGUUAUGAUGGACAAGGCCCAGAACAUUCAAGUGCACGACUAGAGCGUUAUCUUCAGGUAUUCCCCAUGAAAUAGCAUGCAUUGUUCUUUGCAUCAUGAUUUAGCUUCAUCAUCCUUUAUUCAAAAUCAGGCUGUGCUCCCUAGCAUGUCAUUUUCACAUAAAAAUAAAAAAGGGGACUCAAUGGUGCAUUUAUGACUACAUCUUUAUAAAUUUUUGCAGAUGAGUGAUGACAAUCCUUUUGUGAUACCUGAGAUGGAUACAACUCUUCGUAAACAAAUUCAGGAGUGCAACUGGCAGGUGGUUAAUGUUACAACACCUGCUAAUUACUUCCAUGUUUUGCGGCGUCAGGUCAGUGCAACUAAAGGUUAUUAAUGAUGUUUCAGCUUCGGGGCUAGUCUUGCCAUUUCCUUAUCAGUCUUCUCUCCUAUUUCAGAUACACAGGGAAUUCCGUAAGCCUCUUAUCAUGAUGUCCCCCAAAAACUUACUUCGUCACAAGGACUGCAAAUCAAAUCUCUCUGAAUUUGAUGAUGUCCAAGGCCACCCUGGUUUUGAUAAACAAGGAACCAGAUUUAAGCGCCUUAUAAAAGAUCAGAAUAUACACUCCGACCUUGAGGAGGGUAUAAGACGCUUGGUACUUUGUUCCGGAAAGGUAUGCUAUGCCCUUGGUUUCCGCUUUUUUCCCCCUUGUAUGACUUUCAAAAGCUGUUUAAGUGUGGAGUUGUUUCUUGUAGAGUGAAGCAGACAACUAAGAUUCAUAAAUUGUGUUAUUUUAUUGGGUUUUAUGCAUAGUUCCCUGCAGGUUUAAUGGUUUUGUGUCGUUUUUAUACAAUAAUGAUACGCUAUCUGCUUUCAGGUCUACUAUGAGCUUGAUGAAGAGAGAAAGAAAAACAAUGCUACCGACGUUGCUAUCUGUCGUGUGGAACAGCUUUGCCCAUUCCCUUAUGACCUAAUCCAACGAGAGCUUAAGCGAUAUCCAAGUAUGUUGUCCAAUCUUAGACUAAAACUUGAUAUAUAGCAAUUCUAACUGAAUCUAAAGACGCAAUGUGAAACAUUGUCUUUUUGGGAAUUUAGUUGGGUUUGAAUGCUGAUUAAAAGCUUGCUGCUGAAAAAAUUUUGUUUGGUUUGUUAAAAAUGUAUAUUCAAUUUAGAUACUCGUCUCUCUCCAUCUCUCCCUCUUUUGUUUAUAAAGAAACUUGAUGUCCUAAUGUAUACUGAUAGGUUUAGUAAUUUUUCAUGUAUUGCGACCCUUUAUUUCUUUUCCUGCUUUUUUGUUUUUCCUGAAACUGAGACAUGAUUUUGGGUUUAUACUUUCAGACGCAGAGAUUGUUUGGUGCCAGGAAGAACCGAUGAACAUGGGUGCAUACAACUACAUCGCCCCUCGUCUUGCCACGGCAAUGACUGCUUUGGGUAGAGGAACCUUUGAUGAUGUCAGAUAUGUUGGCCGUGCUCCAUCUGCUUCCACUGCUACCGGCUUCUAUUCCAUGCAUGUGAAGGAACAAGCGGAGCUCGUGCAAAAGGCCAUUCAACCCGAACCGAUCAAGACCAAUACCACUAUCUGAAGCUUUGCGCAAAAUCAUUGUUGAAAAACUAUAGUAUUAAAGCAAUGCUCAAAAAUAACAUCCGGUGCAGAGCUGGAAAACUGUUAGGGUGUGUUAUUUUGAUGAGUCAUGUUUCCGCUAUUCCUUCUCUGCUAAGGCACCGAUAAAUGAAGGUGAACUGAUUAUCAUAAUUUUCAUUUGUAAUAUUUUUUGGUUUUUUUAAACCCUAACAGUAUAAACAAUGCACCGGUUCCUUUCAUAAUGCAGAAAUUAAACGACCUCUCAGGGCAAUUAUGGUUUCAUUUUCAUAUAUUCUGGAAAUAAGAUUUUACUCUUUUUUCCUCUAAAUUUUUUAAAACUCCUAUUGUCUGUAUUAAUUUUUAUGAUUUUUCAAGGAUUAAUGGUUAUAAAAAGCCUCAAAUUCUAAUUUUUCAAAUGAAAAAAAUAUAUAGAUAGUUGAUAUAAUCAUUUUUAAAAGUGGUACUAAAAGAUUGAGAUAAAAAUUUCACUACUACUUGAUGAGAUUAGAUGAAAACUGCACAAACACUCGUAAGGUUUAUUUAUUAACUAAACUUUAAAUUAAGAGAUAAAUUUAUCCUUUUGUUAAAUUUACCUUUUUAUCUUCACUUCUGUUUAAUAAUAUUCAAUUAAAAAUAAAAAAUCUAAUUAUUUAUAAAACUAUUAUUAUUAUUAUUAUUAUUAUUAUUAAAUUGCAUUAUAUUUUAAUAUAAAGAUAUAUUAAAACAUAGCAUAUUUUCAAUUAAUACUAAAUAAUGACAUGCUUACAAAACGGAUAAAAAAAAAAGAAUAAUAAUCUAUAAUCUAAAAUAUCUAUAAAAACACGAGUUCGGAAAAAAAAAAAACUAUUGUAGUGAUCAAUAUAUUGCAUUACUGAUUUCACAAUUUUAAAUGUUUUUUUUAUUAUUUAUAAAGUUUUAUCACAUUUAUAUAAAUAUAUAUACAUAUAUAAGAAUUUAACCUUAUUAAAAUAUUUGGUUAAUUAAAUUUAUUUAAUAAAAAAUAUUUAUCAUAAUUAUAAAUAAUAAUUUUAAUUAUUGUUAAAGGAUUUUUAAGUUUUAAAAAUAUAUAUUAAAUAAUUUAUAUAGUAACAUGUAAAAGGGUUAGAAUUUACAUCGAAUUAUUUUAUCUUUAAGCUAUUAUUGUUUCAUUAACCGGAAAAAGUAAAAAAAAAAAUUAUAUUUAAAUAUUGAAAUCUAAUUAUUUGUACAAUAACUUUGUAUUUCAUAUAUAUGAUUUUAUAAAUAAUAUAUUUAUAUAACUCAAUUAAUAUUUUAUUUAUAGCAAUUAUUAUUAUUAUCUACAAACUAUAUGGACAAUUUAUUGAUUAAAAAAUAAGAAAAAAUGGGAAUGGAAAUUAUAUUGCACAAACGCUGCUUAAUGCUUAAUGAUCAGGGAUUAUUUUGGAUUAUCAAAAUAAUUGAUUUAUUUUGAUUAUAUUGAUUAAUUAUUAUUUUAAUAAUAUAAUUUUGUAUUAACUACAUAUGUAAAAUUAUAUUGUUUAAUAAAUUACUAAACUUAAAUAUAAAAAAAAUCACGUGUAAUAUACGCGACAUUAGAAACUAAUAAAUAUAAAAACACGAGUUUGAUAAUUUUGUAAUAUGGGAUAUAUGCUUUAAUUAUAAUUUUGAAAACAUCUUUAUUAUAUUUGAAUUGUUAAACUUAUUAAAAUAUUUUAAUUAUGUUUAACCAUUGGAAUAAUAAAUUAAAAGAUAAUUAAAAAAACUAAUUAUGGCAAUGAAAUGAAUAAAAUAAUGUUCCAUGUGAGAUGAGAAAUUAAUAAAUGAAAAAAAAGAGAGAAAAGUAACUACAUAUUAUAAUUGUUCAAGAGAGAGAUAAAAUAGAUUAAUGAUUAAUGUUUGAAUGAAAAAAAAGUACGUAAGAAAAUUGCAUUUUGAAUAUAUUUUAAUAUUUCAUUAGUAAUACAUAAUAUUAUGUAAAUUUAAUUUUAAAAUAUUAUAAUUGAUAUUACAAUAAAUUUUAAAAAAAUAUAUUUUGAAUUUAUUUCUAAAAUAUAAAUAUUAUAAUAGUAGAUUGUGUGAAGUCUAUUUUUAUACAUAGUUUCAUGCUUAAUUUUAAUUAUAAAUUAGUGAAUGUAGAUUGAUAAUUAGAACUAAAUAUUGUGAUCAUUAAACAAUUUAUUGUAACAUUAUUUAUAUUUUUAAAUAUUUAUUUCGUAUUUAAUUGGUAAAAAGAGUGAUAAACUUAAAAAUAUUAAAAAAAUAAAAAAUUAAAAUUUACUGUAACUUAUUAUGUAAAAUUGUAAAUUGAAUUAUUGAAAACGACUUGUUACGAAAAAAAUAUAUUGCAGAACACCAUUAAGAAUUAUAUAAAAAAGUGGAGGGGUUUUUGUUGCACAAGUGACUAGGAUCUCUCCUUGUCACAUGUGAAUUCUUUAUAGUGUGAACACAUUAGAAAUUUAAUAACAUUAUCAUAUAAUCUAUAUAAUAUAUAAAAUCAGCUCCUAAGAGGAGAAAUUAGGGUAAAAGAAAAGGGACAACUUUGGUAUUUUAAUGAAUUUAAGAAGUUAAUCCUGAUAUUUCAAAUAUUUAAUUAACGUUUUUUAUUAAGAUUUUUCCGUAAAAAUUGAGGUUUUUCCAUCAAUUAUUUAAUAUAAAAUUUGCUUAGUUUCGUAAAUAUUAAUCUCCUUAUCUUAUUCUAGUAUUUAUUUAUUUAUUUUAUAUUAUUAAAGUAAAAUCGAUUACAUAGCAUGAUAUAAUAUUAUUUUAUAUGGGUAACAUUUGAAAGUUAAAUGACAAUCAUCUAUUUUUGAUAGUUAGGUAUAAAUUUUGUUAAGUAAACAUUUUUGUCUAAAUUAUAUGCAGAUUAACCGAUAUGAGAGAGUGAAUCACACUCUUAUUUUGCAUGUUACACCCACUACUUUCUUUUAUAUAGCAUUACAAACUUUAUUUUAAUUAUAAUACUACAUUUUUCCAUUAACAUUUAAUGUGUAAUCAUGGUUAUAAAUUUUCUCAUAAAUUCUCUUUACCUAUGAAUAUUUUAAAUAAGAGCGGUAACACCUUCAUUCCUUUUCGUCACCGAAUUGAGUUACGAGAUGCUUAAUAAAUAACAGCAUUGGAACAUGUAAUUUAAUUCAAGUAUUUAUUCAAAAAAAUCUUAAAUCAUGUCUUGCAUACAAAUUUGAACUUAAUUCGAGCUUACGAAAGCUCUAAAAUCAAUUUCAAAACAAACAAGAACUCAUUUAGAACAUUUCAAAAAAGAUUGAGCAAAAGUGUAAAACAGGGUCACACGAGCAUGUGUCCAGGCCGCGUGACGAGUUGAGACCGUGUAAAGCAAUGUCACACGGCCUUAUCAACAAGUCUGUGGACCUAAAUUUAAAAUCUUACAAACAUUCGCACGGUCGUGUUGCCAGGCCAUGUGAGAGAUUGUGACCGUGUUUAACCAAAACCACCUUGAUAAUAUAGAGCACACAACCGUGUCACUUGCCCGUGUGUGCCAAGAUAUGCCUUUUAAAUCAAAUCACACAAUCGAUUCUUACUUGUGCCAUAAACAAGCCUUUAACCAUUCAUUAGACCUGUUCAAAAUGCAUCAAAAUAUACCCAAAAUACAACUUAUAAAACCACCCUAAGUGCCUAACCAAUAUGUCACAAUUGACACCUCAAUUCAACAAUAAACAACAUUUUUCAAUCAAUUCAUCUAUACUUGUACCAACACUUAGCAUUUAAACUACCUAACAUACCAUGUUUUAAAUUCUAAUCUAAUACCAAGAUUCAACUCCAUUUCUUACCAACUAGAAUUAAGUCAUACUUGUGCUUAGCAUGCAAUAUAAGUAACAAUUCCUACCAUGUUAAUGUUGACCAUAAUGCCAACCUAAUAACGUAUCAUUUCACAAUAAACAUAAGCUUAUUUAAUAUACUAUAGCCUCCCAAAAUCAAUCAUCAAAAUACCACACUAUAGUCAUUAACCAAAUCAUAUAUUUCCAAUUAUUUCCAUAUGUAACAUAAUCUAACAGACCAAGUAUCUAUAUUAUUCCAUCACAUACCAAAUUCAAUGAUAACAUUCAAAGAUACUAAUUCAUGUCAUGAUUGACCUGACGUUAAAUGUGGUAGUUAUUUCGGUCUAUUUCCUUUGUUUUCUUACCAAUUUAGUAUUUAUUAUUGCAUUUUGAGUAUUUAGUAGUUAGAAUUAAAAGUUAAUAAAAAUAAGUGUUUUUAACACAUUUUACGAGUGUUGAUGACCUAUUAGGUCGACAUGGGCCUUAGCUAGGGUUAAUUUAUGUAUUUAAGUGUACAAGAGGCUUAAUUUUAGUCCCAAUUGACAUAGGAACUUGGGACGAGUGAUGCACAAGCUUUUCGAGCUGUGAAAGCACGAAAAAAAUUUCUAAAGCCACAAAAAUACUGCCAUGGCAUGACACACAAUGUUUGUGGCGUGACAUGCACCCUAUGUUGAGCCAUAGCUUGAACAUUGGCUAUAAGCAAGGAUGACAUUGGCAACCGUUUUUUGGCAGAUUCUCAUAGAUUUUAUUCUUUACUGGCACCUAAAGUAUCGGGGGCAUAUCGGGCAUAAAGUGUACAUAUUUUAACUUAUAAAUAAGAGGUUUUUAUAGACAAAUUAAGGCAUCAAUCAAUAAAACCAUCCAUCCAUCAAACACAACUUUUGGUUUUCUUUUCUUUUUGUUCGGUCAGAACUUUUCUGUUCUAAUGUAAAGACAAUAGCAAGCAGAGAUUGCUCCGGAUCCGUGCUUCAAUAUAUAUAUUCACGAGCAUUCUCUCUACUCUACUCUACUAUUCUAUUUUAUUCUUUUAUUUAUAUUUUGUUAGCCUGAUCAACUAAUAUUUGUACGAAUAUCAGAAUAAAUCUUGUGCUUUAUUUAUAUCUUGCAUGUUUCGAUUAUUGAACUGAUUAAUUAAUCAAGUCGAUUAGUUAACAAAAGACUAAGGGUUCAUAAUAAGAUUAGUUGAUAUAGAUUACACGUUCCUAAACCCUAGGCUUGAUAACCCUAGGAAGUUAUCAUAGGAGAGAUGAGGUCGGGAGAUAAGUCGAACAGAGUAAAUCAUAGUUUAUCCUGUCGGAGAAAGUGAGGUUGGGAGGUAAAUAAGUAUCCGCUGAUUAAUCAAUUAGUAGAGUCUAGUGUCACGGACUUGGAGUUUUCCCACACAUCCGUGCGGCCUUAGGCAGUUUCUUGGCUUAAAAAUGCCUAAGUCAGCCUAAUUUCCACCAAUAAUGGAUUCAACCGUAAAAACGCCUAAGUUAGCUCAAUUCGCAACAAUAAAGGAUUCAACAGAAUUCCCUUAAAGUUUCCAUGAAGAACAGCGGAAGAACGAAUUAAGAACGAUCUUUGAAAGAUGAACAAAAGCAAGAACGCUUGAGAGAAAAGUUUGAGUAAAUGUUCUCGAUUCUUAUUCACAAAGAAUAAUGAAACAAUUACAGGAGUCAGUACAAAUGAGGGGGAGGCUCUCUAUUUAUAGUUGAGCUCCCCCAAAACCGAUGGCUACAAUUAAAAGCUGUAUUCAAUUAGGACUCUAACUUUACAGAAUUAGAAGCUGUGUACAAUUAGAACUUCUAAGACUACUUAGUCCUAUCUUCAUUAUCGGGCCUAUCAGGCUUCAAUGUGACAGGCCUGUCCAACAGCUCUUUGAAUCGGGCCAGUUCUCGUAGGCCAAAUGAUCCCCAUCUGAGCAACAGACCUCCAUUGGAUGCAUUUGGUGCGCUUGUCACGGGCUUUGAACUGCGGCCCGUGACAUUCUCCCCCACCCAUUCUCGCAACGCCCUCGUUGCGACAUCUGAAUGGCACUGACUUGAUUCACCUCGGUUUCGUCUCGUCGCCUUAGCCUUUCCCUUUCUUAGGGAUUUUUGCCUCGGUUUCUGUUGCUUCUUAACUCGAGCCGUCCUGCUCGUUGCAUUUACUCUGGUCAACUGUCCCACAUGCAACGCUUCUUUUCCUUUGAAGUCUGAUGCACCACCUACCUCUCCCAUAGGUGGAAGCCUUGUCGAUGACUCGGCCAACUCCGAUGCUUCACUCAACUUGAGCCUCAUUGGUCUCAGCUUCACUGUUUUCAUCGCAACUUUCUCCACUAAGUUAGAUGACAAACUCACCUCUUCCUUGGGUGGAAGCCCCUUCGACGACUCACCAAGCUCAGACGUUGCCUUUCUUUCGACUCUGGCUUGCUUUGGACAGUUCCGCAACUCAUGCGGACCACGGCACAAGAAGCACUUAACUUGCUUCUUUUUGCUCCUCUUUGCCCUCUUGGCUUUGGCUUUUCCCUUGCUCGAACCAAGCUUCUUGGGCUCAUUGUCUGCUCCAUCGUUCCCCUCGAUGACAGACUUCUUCGGACACUUCCGCAACCUAUGCGGACCAUGACACAAGAAGCACUCCACUGGCUUCUUCUCGCUUUUGGCCUCUUUGGCUUCGGCACCCCUUGCGCUCGAACCAAGUACCAAGGCCUUACCCACCGGCUUCUCCUUAAGCGCGGAUUUCUUCGGACAUUUCUUUAACAUGUGUGGACCAUCGCAAAGAAAGCAUUUCAGCUUGUCCCUUUUCCUCUUGGGUUUCUUCUUCCCAACUCGUGGUUUCCCAUUACCACCAUUGUCGCCGUUGUCAUUGCCAUUAACUCUAUCUUCCUUGUGAUCCAUUUCACAUACGCCCCUUCCAUCGGACUUGGAAGACCCAAGCUUGUCUUUCCCUAGACCAAGCUUCACCACGGACUCAACUACCAUCAUGGCUUCCGACAGUUUUUGGACACCUCUUUGUUCCACCUCCUGUCUGACCCACGGCUUUAAUCCCUUUUGAAAAGCAAGCAAUGCUUCUUCAUCGGUCACAUCUGAAAUUUGGAGCAUGAGUUCCUUGAACUCUUGAACAUACUCCCUCACUGUGCCCCGUUGCAUUAUCUCUUGCAACUUUGCCCGAGCUUCUUCCUCGGCAAAUUCUGGGUAAAACUGUCCCUUCAACUCGCAUUGGAACUCUUGCCACGUCCCAAUCUCACCUUGCCUUUUAUUUGAGGUCCUACCUCGCCACCAUAAAAGCGCAAUGUCAGUAAGAAACAUUGAAGCAGUGUUUACCUUAACCGCAUCCUCCAUGAUGCCUUUGGCACGGAAGUAGUUUUCCAUCCUCCACAAGAAAUUAUCCACAUCACAUGCAGACCUUGUCCCCACAAACUCUUUCGGCUUUGGGACAUCCUCAUUACUGAGUGCUGCAUUUGCCACUCCUUUCCCCACGGCUGCUUGACACAAGGACAGCUCUCCCUCGAGCUCCUCUAUUCUUGUGCUCAAAGCCUUCGUCGUGGCCAUUGUUUCCUCCUUCAAAGCCAUCAUCAUGGCCUCGAGAGCAUCAUUCCUUUCCGACAGCUUAUCCCUGUGUGAAUUAAACAACUCGUUUACCUUGUCCAUGGUGGAACCAAGAGACAUCUUUACAUAGUCUCUGGACUGCUCCUUCCAGUUUGCUAUGUGAUCCUCGACCCCAUCGAGUGCCUCCUUUACAUCCUCUAUGGAUCCCUCGAGUUUACCCACACGUUCCUCUACUGCCGAUAUUGUCUCCUUCAAAGACUUCCUCGCCCACCUUUGUUCGAACUCUUCUCUCGACAUCCCCACGGUGCCUUUGAACCAACAACUCGAAUAUUACUUGGUUCAAACCUUGGCUCGGAUACCACUUUGUCACGGACUUGGAGUUUUCCCACACAUCCGUGCGGCCUUAGGCAGUUUCUUGGCUUAAAAAUGCCUAAGUCAGCCUAAUUUCCACCAAUAAUGGAUUCAACCGUAAAAACGCCUAAGUUAGCUCAAUUCGCAACAAUAAAGGAUUCAACAGAAUUCCCUUAAAGUUUCCAUGAAGAACAGCGGAAGAACGAAUUAAGAACGAUCUUUGAAAGAUGAACAAAAGCAAGAACGCUUGAGAGAAAAGUUUGAGUAAAUGUUCUCGAUUCUUAUUCACAAAGAAUAAUGAAACAAUUACAGGAGUCAGUACAAAUGAGGGGGAGGCUCUCUAUUUAUAGUUGAGCUCCCCCAAAACCGAUGGCUACAAUUAAAAGCUGUAUUCAAUUAGGACUCUAACUUUACAGAAUUAGAAGCUGUGUACAAUUAGAACUUCUAAGACUACUUAGUCCUAUCUUCAUUAUCGGGCCUAUCAGGCUUCAAUGUGACAGGCCUGUCCAACAGCUCUUUGAAUCGGGCCAGUUCUCGUAGGCCAAAUGAUCCCCAUCUGAGCAACAGACCUCCAUUGGAUGCAUUUGGUGCGCUUGUCACGGGCUUUGAACUGCGGCCCGUGACACUAGGAGGUAAUACUAGUUAUUAAUAGCUAAUUCAUAUUAAAACCCGAAUUUUGAAAUUAGUUAAUCUUUUAUUUAUCAAUUAGGGAUUUAGCCGAUCAUAAGUUCACGUUUUCAACACUAGGAAUAGGAACUACACAUCGAUAUAAACUACGCCGAUAAAGUACAAACUUAAGAAUGGAAAUGACUUUGUGUAUGCACAUAUCUUACAUGUUCUAUUGAGUGUAUAAUUUGGUUGAUAAUUUAAAGGGUAAGUGGUCAUAUAAAUGAAUUGGUAAGUGAACUAUAGAAUAUUAGUUAAAGAUUUCAUUAUGGUUACUCUUUAUUUAAUUUCAUUGAAUAUAAUGUUGGUUAAUUUAAAUUUUAAGUUUAAUUCUUGAUGUAUUUGCUAAGUUUUUAAUUCUUGAUGUAUUUGCUAAGUUUUUGUAAGCUUAACGCGCUAUUUUUCAACGCGUAGGUAAAAACUCGAGUUAAAUCUCUAAAACAAAGAUACCUUAUCAACUCAUCACAUCCUAAAGCUCAAAAGAGAGUAUGAUUUUGAUCUUUUGGUUAUAAAUUAUGGCAUGCAUAUAGUUUGAUGCAAAGCAUAUCUUGAUCAUUUUGUUAACCAUACAAACUUAGUUAAAUUUUGAUUGAGUUAUAUGUGGAAUCAUAUUGUAACAGCCCGUUUUUUAGUAGUGCCGAAAAUAAUGGUUUCGGGGCCACAAAUCCGACGAGUAAGUUUGUAAAUAUUAUUAUUUAAUAUUUCGUGUCAAAUAUGGUUUUAAAAAGGUUUUUGAUAUGGUAAUUUAUAUUAUAUAAAUGAUUAAUUAAGUUCAAGUGGUAAUAGCCUAAAGUCAAGUGAUUUUAGAAAAUAAGGUAUCGGGACGUCGUUUCCAUAAAAUGAGCUGUAAAUAUUUUUAUUUAUGGGGUGUCAUUAAGAUUGUAUUAAAUUUUAGUUAAGAAAUUUUAAUGUUUUGAUAGUUAAUUAAUUAAAAAGGACUAAAUUAUAAAAAGUGUAAAAGUUGAAUUCUACUAACUAGAGAUGUUUAAUAGCUAAUAAAAAGUAAAUUUAUGGACUAAUAUGGUAAAUAUACCAUAUUAUAGUUGAGUGGGCGGUUGGUGAUUAUUUUUGUUAGUUUAUAUGAUAUAUUUUGAUAUUAAUAAAUUAAAUAAUAAGUAUUAAUUAAGAAAAAGAAAAAGAAAAAGAAAAAACAAAACAUAAUUUUGUUUUGUGUUCUUCUUCUUUGACGAGAAGAACUCCAUUUUUGGAGAAACCAGAUUUGACCAAUCCAUUUUCUAUGCAUGAGGGAGAUUUUGAGAUCAAGAUUGAGUGGAAAAUCGAGAAGAAUGGAAAAUUAUCAAAAAGUUGUUAUACUUCGACAUUUUUGCUAUUUGGCCAAAUAAGUUCAUACGGUUAGAAUUUAACAUAAAUAAGAAUUAAGUAGAUUAACAUGGUACAACUUAAAUAUUUAUUUCUAAUUGUUGAUAAUUAAUGGUAAUUUGAGAUAUAAUAUUAAAUUUGAUGUUCGGUUUGAAUUGAAUGCAGGAUAAAGUACAAUCGUUAUUUGGUGUGUUGCGGGGGUUUGGAGUGGAGAUAGUAGUGGAGGGAGAUAUCUGUAUAUUACCCGAGUAAGCCAAAGUUCAGCAUUUGUUGCGGACUCUCAUGUUAUAUUCUCUAUUUCGCAUGUUUUGAUUGGAUCAGCUCUUAUGAGCUUCUGUUUAGCGUGUUUCAGUUAGAUCAACUCUUAUGAGCUUUUGUUUGGUGUGUUUGAGUUGGAUAAGCUCUUAUGAGCUUCUGUUUGGCGUGUUUCAGUUGGAUUAGCUCUUAUGAGCUUCUGUUUGGCAUGUUUCGGUUGGAUCAGCUCUUAUGAGCUUCUGUUUGGUGUGCUUCGAUUGGAUCAACUCUUAUGAGCUUCUAUUUGGCGUGUUUCGGUUGGCUCAGCUCUUAUGAGCCUCUGUUUGGUGUGUUUCGGUUGGAUAAACUCUUAUGAGCCUCUGUUUGGCAUGUUUCGAUUGGAUCAGCUCUUAUGAGCCUCUGUUUGGCGUGUUUCGGUUGGAUCAGCUCUUAUGAGCUUCUGUUUGGCGUGUUUCAGUUGGAUCAGAUUUUAUGAGCUUCUGUUUGGUGUGUUUCGAUUGGAUCAACUCUUAUGAUCUUCUGUUUGGCGUGCUUCGGUUGGAUAAACUCUUAUGAGCUUCUGUUUGACGUGUUUCUGUUGGAUCAACUCUUAUGAGCCUCUGUUUGGCGUGUUUCUAUUGGAUCAGCUAUUAUGAGCUUUUGUUUAGCGUGUUUCGGUUGGAUUAGCUCUUAUGAGCUUCUAUCUGGUGUGUUCGGUUGAUCUGACGAUGUAUUCUUAUCUGUAAGUUGUUCUUCGAAUAGAAAAUCUUGGUAAGGUAAUCUGUUUAAUGAAUUUGAAAGAUUUGUUAUUUAUUGAAUAUUGAUCUGAACAUAGAUGAAUUCAUCUGACUGUAAAUCUCGGUAAGGUAACUUGUUUAUUGAUUUUGAUGGAAUUACCAUAUAUUUAAGCUUGAUUUGAAUGUUUCAAUUCUCCAGUUGAGAUUGUGGAUGACAGGAACACAUAUGGUUAAUUUUUGUGUUUAUACUUUGUACUAUGCAAAUGAAAAGAUAUAAUUUCUUAUGAAAUGAUUUAUCAUGUACUUGAUCCCAAAAGAGUUGUGUAUAAAUGUACUAACUUGUGUAUAGAUGAUGACAAUUAGGCUUAUAUCAAGCUCGUGGUUAUGGUCGAUAUUUAUGUUUAUGUCUUGUGUUUUGCAAAUGAAAUGAGUAAGAAAAGGUAAUGAAAUGGUAAGUUCAUAAUUGAAAUGUAAUGUGAUAAGAUAAAAGGAUUGAUGAAUUAAAUGACUUAUCUAUAUGUGAGAAAUUUACUUACACUGAAGGUGAAUUUACCUAUGUCAUGAAUAAUCAUACUAAUUCAUGGAUUGAUAAUGUAAUUAAGCUCAUGCUAAGUAAACGGAACUGAAAGUAAGUAAGUGGAAUGAUUCAUCAUUUUAAGAAAAGAUUGAUGAUUAUGCAGUACAACUUAUAAGAUUUUAUUAUAUUAUGAAUAGAAAGUAUAUGUGAGUUGAUAGUUUUAUAGUUUGAUAAAUCUUGUGGCAUUGGUAAAGCCUUACGUUUGUCGUAUAAAUUUCAUAUAUAUGAUGAAAUGUUAUGUUUAAUAUUCAUACGAGCUUACUAAGCAUUCAUUGCUUACGUAAUUAUUUUCCUUUAAUUUACAGAUUAUCGGAAGCUCAGUCGGGUUGGAAGCUUGUCGGAGAUCUAUUACACUAUCCAAUGAUUAUAUCGGUAGUUUUUGAUGUUUUGAUCAAGGUUAUAAUGACAUGUUUAGGAGGACUUGUGUUUGAUGAACUAGUUGUUAUGUUUGGCUUGUAAAUAUGGUAAUAUGGUUGGUGUGCUUUUGGCAUUUGAUGCCUUGAUGGUUGGUGUUUUUAUUGCCAAAAUGAUGUAUGGGUUAAAUGGCUAAAGUGGUAUGUGUUGGCAUGGUUGAAAUGUGGUCAAUUAGGUUAUGUGUUGAUAUGGAAUUUAGUUAAGGUUGUUUGGAUGAAACAUGAUCUUUUUGAUGCAAAUGUAAGUAUGAAUGCUUGGUUGUGAUUGAGGUGACUAAAUGGCAUAUUGGUUGAAUGGCAUAUAUUGAUUGUAACACCCCUUAAACCUUAUCCGUCCACGAAACAGGAUUACAGGGCAUUACCAGUUAAUACAGUUCAUUUACCGUUAUUAAUUAAAAUAAUUAUUUACACUUAUCACAAAUUUAAUAAAUUAUCAAAUAAUUCAAAUUUACACCAAUUAAGCCAAAUCCUAUUAUAUACUAGAGGUGUACAUGGGCCGGGCGGCCCGGCCCGGCCCGAAGGUUCGCCCGAAAAAUGAGAAGGUUUGGGUAAAAAUAUAGGCCCGAAUAAUGGGCUUGGACAAAAAACGAGGCCCGUUUAGAAAACGGGCCGGGCCCAGAGUAAGAUUUUUUUGGCCCGGGCUCGGCCCGGCCCGAUUUUAAUAUUAAAUUAUUUUUUAAAUUUUUUAUUUUUAAUUUUAAGUAACUUUAGUACUUUAACUUUACUCUUUUUGUUGUUUUUAAUGUUAUUUUGAUAUUGUAAAACUUUUGUUAUUAAUAUAAUUUGGUUCAAUUUUUCAAUUUUAAUAUAAUUACUUUUUAUUAUAUUUUUAAUUUAUGUAUUAUUUUAAAAUUUAUUUUAGUCUCAUUUUUUUAUUUGUUUUUUAUUUUAAUAUUUGUUUUUAUGUUUUUAAAUUCUUUUAUUUAAUAAAAAAAGCAAAAAAAAAUUAAUAUGGCCGGACCGGGCUCGGGCCUACUAUUUUUUUCUCGGACCGGGCUUGGACAAAUUUCUAGGCCCAUAUUUCGGGCCGGGCCGGGCCCAGACCUUAAAAACGGGUAAAUUUUUUUUAUGGACCCGGCCCGAAUCCGGCCCAGCCCAGCCCAUGCACACCUCUAUUAUAUACCAUUACCAAACCUAAUUCUAAAUAUUUCAUCAACACAUUGACAAUUCAAAAUACACACACGUAAAAUACAUAAAAUAUCCUAGGUAGAUGCCAUUACCAACUAUUAACACGCUUUACCUCACUGAAUUCAGGACCGGCCUGGGAUCCUGAUUCCACGUUCUAGCUUUAACUUAACCUGCGCACGGAAACAAACUGUACGCUGAGCAUGAACUCAGUGAUAUUUCUAUAAUCCGAACACUUAAUGAAAUGAAAAUUUAUAACAAACACUUAAAAUUAUAUACAAUUACAAUUAUUCAAUUAUUUAAUUCAUAGAUAAAUUCUUUAUAACUUAUUCCAUUCUUUUCACUUACUAAUUUGUUUAGCUUUCUAUGAUUUAUUCACAAGUCAUUUAAACAAUAAUAUUAUUCACUUUUAUCCAAUUCAAAUGUAUAUAAUUCAUUUGUCUCAGUCAUACUUUAGUUCACUAUUUAAUAUCAAUAAACUAUAUUCAACUAUUCACUUCUCAAUCAGUGUUUUGUACUUAUCCAUUUCAAUAACAGUCAGUAUUUUUCGGUAACGGUCAAUUGAUCUUUAUUAUUCAGUAACAAUCAAUCAUUAGAGAAAUCAGUCAUUCAGUAUUUUUAUUUAUCCCUAUUUACAUGACUCGGACAUUGACAGAUACACAGAUUCCAACCCAAAACACUAGUAUGACACAUUGUGCCUAAACAGUACAUAAUACCUGAUCAAUAUACGACACAUAAGUGCCUGAAAUGACACACGAGGUGCCUGAUACGACACAUAAAGUGCCUGAUUGGCAAAGCCGAUAAAUCCCGUACCCUUCCAAAUCCUAUGGCAUGCCAAUUAUAUCCGACUCAGCCUGACUAGUUAAUAGGGUAUUGCAUAUUACUUUUCGAUUUCAAUUUCAUUCUCAAUUUAAUUACAACUCAAUUCAAUAUAAUUCAAUUCACUUUUCAAUAACAAAUAUUCGAUUUCACAAUAGUCACUUAUUCAUACUAAUUUCAUCACAUUUCUAACAAAUAUAUUUUCCAACAUAACGUACAUUCAAUAUUCAAUUUCCACAUCAAUCACAUAUAUUCAUAUAAAUUUAAUAAAUUUAUCACUUACUAAAUCAAUUCAUUUCAAUUAUAAAGACACAAUACAAAUAAUUCUCAUCUUAAUUAUUUAUCAUAACAUUUACCCAAAAUUCAAUUAUCAUAAUUGCACAAUAUCAUAUUCACACACACACACACAUAUAUAUAUUUAUAAUAUAUAAUUCAAUUUAAUUCAAUCAAUAUAAAUUCAUCACAUACCAAAUUAAUCCAUUGCCAUUAUAAACACAAUAAUACUCACCUCAACAUUUACUAAAUGCAUUGAAUAAAAAAAUAUAACAAUUAAUAACUAGGUUUGGAUUAUAGAAAUACAAACCGUAAUUUCCGAGCUAACCCUUGUCGACUUUACCUUUUUCUUGCUUACCCGAGAUUUCCGGCACAAUGUUAGCUACAAAAAUUAAAACAAUUUAAAAUUCAUCAAUAUACAAUUUCAUUUUAUUUAUUCCAAUUUGAACUCAAUAUUUACAUAACUUCUAAUUUAAUCCCAAUUCAAACUAACUUGUUUUCUUUGCAAUUUAUUCUCUAUUUUUCACUCAACUAUCACUUAAAGCCAAAUUUCAACUCUCUAAUUUCUCCAUAAAUACAUAAUUUUGAAUUUCUUUCAAUUUAGUCCCUAAAGCAUGAAACUUAUGAAUUCAAUCCUUAUUUCACUUCUAACUUGAAUUUCUAUCAAUUUAAUUCCUAAUUUAUCAUUUUAUUCAACAUGAACCAUAUUUAGAAAUUUAAUAUCUUCCAAAAUAUCAACUUAAUUCCAUCAAAACCUUAUUCCAAGGCUUUUAAAACAUCAAAAUUAAGUAAAAAGGGCUAAAUUGACUUAUCUAUUUAGACUUCAAGCUUCAAACCCUCAAAUUUCCCUUUUCUUCAUUCCGUUCUUUCUUUUUUUCCUUCCUUCUCUAUUUCGUUUCUUCUAUUCUGUUUCUUUCCUUUCCUUUUUUUCCUUUCUUUUAUUUUCAUUAAAUUAUUAUAUAUAUAUUAUUUAUACUUAAAUUAGUAAUACUUAUUUAUUAUUUAUAUAUGUAUAUAUUAUUAGUACAUAUGUAUCCAUUUAUAACCAUACAUUUGUCAUAAUUUAAUUUAUUUGUUACAUAAAAAUCUUAUAAUAUAAUUAUUUGAUUAAUAAAUAUCUUUUACUUAAUAAUUAUCUAUUUAAUAACUAAAUACAAGUAUUACAAAUGUAUGUAUUUUUAUUAAUGCACUUGUAUCUAAUUAUCAUCACACAUUUGUCUUUCUUUAAUUCAUUCAUUCAUUUACUUUAUUUAAUUAAUAUACAAUAAUAAUUUUAAUAUAAUAAUAUUUACUUAAAUAAUAAGUAAAUACAUACAUGUAUUACAAAUGUAUUCUAAUAUUUAUUACACAUGUAUAUUUUUAUUACCACACAUUUGUCACUAUUUUAAUUUAUUUAAUAAUAUAAUAAUUUAAUAUCAAUUAAAUGAUAAUAAUAACCAUAAUAGUAAUAAAUUAAUUAUUGUAAGAAAAAUCUUAGAUUUUUCUAUCUUUUGCCGCCUAAAUUAGGACAAAUGGCAUAAUUACCAUUUUGAUCCUUUACAUUUUCUUUUAAUCUAUAAUUCAACUUUCACACUUUAUUCAAUUUAAUCUUUAUACCUAUUUAGCCUCAAUUUAAGCUAAUUCAUCUUAUUAAACUCUAAUUAAUCACUCAAUUAACUUCGUAAAUAUUUUUAAUAAAUAUUUACGAAUCCAUUUUUCAGAAACAAAGACCCGAAAAUAAACUUUUUCGAUAACCGUAAAAUUCGAGUCGUUACAGAAAUGAUCUUAUUAUGCAUAUUUUGGCAUGUUUUGGUGCCUUGAUCAUAGGUUCAUUUGGUGUGUUGGUACUUGUUGAAAUUGGGUGAAAGAAAAGGCUUGAUUUUGGCCUAUUUCUUGUCCACACGGCCUAAAACACGGAUGUAUGUCUCAACUGUAUGUGACACACGACUAGGCGACACGGCCGUGUGUCCCUUUUAGGUUGUUAAUGGUUGCUUUUUGAAAGUUGCAUGACCUAGCACACGGCCUGUCACACGGGCGUGUGGUGCCAUUUCGAGAGUUACAUGGCCUGUCACACAGGCAUGUAGUUUGGCCGUGUGACCCAAGUCAAUGAGUAACAAGGGCACAAACAUAGGCUAGGAUACGAUCGUGUGUUCCUAUUUCGAAUGUUACAUGGCCCGAGACAUGGAUGUGUGUCUUAGCUGUGUGAGCCACACGGCUUGGUCACACAGCCAUGUAACCUCUGCAGUGUAAAUUUUUCUAAUUUUUUCCUAAACUUUCUAAAUGUUUUUGAUUUAGUCCCGGAUUGUUUCUAUUGUAUUUUUUGGGCCUUGAGGGCUCAAUUAAGGGACGUUAUGAAUGUAUUUGAAUGAAAUUAGAAUAUGUAUUGCAUUGAUAUAUGAAUUAAAUAGUUUACUAUUUCAUUUGUUCGAUAAUGCUCCAUAACCUUAUUGCGGCAACAGAUAUGGGUUAGAGGUGUUACACAUAUGAUGUUUUAAUGGAAAUUUAUGUUUUAUAAUGUUUAAAUGUGAUAUGAAAUGAUUGAUGAUAGUUGGACUUGGUUUUAGAGGUUUCAAACAUGUUUUGGGUAAUUUAUCUUCAGUGUCACAACAUCAAAAAUCAAUGUCACGACAUUGGACAUGUAAUUAGAGUAAUUUUUUCCGAUGUUGCAACAUCAACAUCCUAGUGUUGCAAAAUUGACCCUAUUUUGACCCGAAUAAGCCUCAUUUGGUCUUCGUUUGUAACCAAACUUUAAAGAAAUCCUAGAAAUGACUUGAAUAACCUUAAAAGAGUCUACUUUUGUUACAAAAAAAGUUUUAAAAUUGAUGUUCGAGUUGAGUAGCUUUAGUUUCCAAAUGUGACAUCCCUUACUCGUGAUGUAUUGGUUCACUCUGGGUGAGGGGUGUUACAUCUACGAUCUCGUCACUUCGCCUUUUAACGACCUUUAACACUUGUUCUACUGUCAGCCUCCCUACCUCGAUUUCCUCUAAUCAUUUUUGCUAACAGUAUACUAAAAUAAACCCUAAAACCUACCAUAGAAGAAUCAAACUUACCAAAAAUAGGAACUACACAUCGAUAUAAACUACGCCGGUGAAGUACAAACUCAAGAAUGGAAAGUUUAAACUUUAAAAACUUAAGAAAAUUUUCAGAUCUAGUAAUGAAUAAUAGACUCUAAAACCCAAAGAUUUAUAGACUUUUUGGUCUAACGAAGCUUCUUGAACACUCCAUUUCAGAAUCCAAAAUGAACGCUACAUCUAGUAAUUUCAAACAUUUAAUGACAGAUAACAAUUGGAAGGAUUUCUCGAUAAAGUGUUGUAACACACAAUCAUUAAUGCGCGUAUAUGCAUGUGCAUGUCCUGAAGCAACAUGGACUACACGUGCAUCCAACGCAGAAACCCUAUCAUUCCAAAUUUCAGCCAUUGCAUGUUAUUUCCCCUAAAAUACCUCAAAGCACUAAAUGCCUAUAACGUAUUGAGACAGACCACUAUAUAACCUCUCUCUUGGUUUGGGGGAGAGAAAUUGUUAUACGCUAACACCUUGAUGCAGCUCUCAGCUUAACACUUAUAAGAGCACCACUUAUUAACCACCAUCCAUGCCUUCAACCAUCACGUUCCAUGAGAUAAUUGAAAGUAUGUCCAAUUGCCACCCUACCCAGGCUUAUAGUGGCAAACCACUUGGCCACUUGCCUCUGACUCUUAUAGAAGCUUGACACAUGAGACCUUCUCUCUCUCUCUCUCUCUCUUUCUCUCUCUCUCUUUAGAUUGAGUCUUGGACAAAUUAUUUUUAUCUCGAGGAUGACUUGCCUUAGCCCAAUUUUACAUUUAUUUAAUAUAUUUAUUGACAUGGAUAUAAAAUUAUAAAACCAUUAAAGCCAAAUCCAUAUCUUCCCUACAACCAUUAAAGUCAAGACCACUAAGUUAAAGCCGAAAGCCAUAUUUACAAAAAGACUAAAUCUGUCCAUUAAAUUGAAAUUUCAUCAUUUCUUUUGGGUAGAAAACCCCAAAAAAUUUGUGUUAUUCUUCUGUUUUCAAUUUCUCAAUCCAAUCAUAUUUGCUUCAUGUCUUGCAUUCAACUAAAUUCAGCGGAUCUAUAAUUCUCCACUCCUCUUCUUGUUGUUACCCAUUAAAAACAUGCCCUACAUUUUGUUUACCUAUGUUUAGGAAUACUUCUCAAAAAUAUUUUUGGAAACACUUUUGUUACUCCGACUUUUCAUUUUUCUUAACGCUUUUGUGCUCAUAAUCAUGUUCAAUGCAUGAUUCUCCAAAAGAAACACUCUUAAGACAGGAAAAUCUUGGAAAACCUUCAAUAUAUCUUUGCCCAAUACAUCAAAUAGAUGGCUUGAGACAGUGAUUCAAAGAGUCUAAGAAAAUCUGGGCAGGCCGGGUUAAACGCAAAAAACACUAAUAUUGUUUGGGCAGAUGGUCCCUUUGGAUGGACGUUUACUUCCAGUGCUAUGUGUUUAGCUUUAUUUUUUAUCUUAUGCUACAAUAUCGUUACAUUAUCUAAUCUUAUCGUCACUGUUUUUAUUUUAUUUUAUUUUACACUAAUCGUUGGUAAAUAUAUCGCCCAUCUAAAAGAACCCUAAGUUUAGGUAAAAUUCUCAACCUAUUUUUCGAAUCAGGUCUAUGUUCUACAUAUUUAAAAAUAUCUUAUCUCAACCUGGUCUGAAUUUAUUAAGUAAGAAACAAAAUUUCUACAUAUAUUUAAUAAUAACUCUUUGUUACUUCAAAAGAAAAAUAGUAAUAAACUCUCUAUGUAGCCUCGAAUGUUUAUAUUUUUUAUAUACAAAAUUUUUAAAAAAUUGCCAUUGUCUAACUUUAAGGAAAAAAAAGAAAAAAAUUAAAAUUUAGGGAUUUCAUUCCAGAUAAGUUAUACUUAAAUUUAUUAAAUUAUUAGUAAAUUUACGUUUUAGUCACUCAACUUCAAAAAGUUAUAAAUGAGCAUUGAUCUAUUUGAAAGUUUCUAUUUAAGUAACUAAAUUGUUAAAAUCACAACUGUAUGUGCCUUUUUUGUUCACAUUGCCUACACCAAUCGAAAUCAAUCAUUCCCACUAAUUUUUAAAGUUUAGUUUUUUUUCGUGAAAUAGCUAAAAUGUCACGAACUUGUAUAUCAAAAUCCAAAUAAUUUUAUUCUCCAAUCUCCAACAUUAGCUACUAGACCAACUUGGAUAUAAUGUUUGCUAUUUUAUUCAUCGAUGAGUAUUAAUCUAUCAUUAAAUUGAUACUUGAAGCUUGUUAGUUGGACAUUUGAAAAAGAGAACUUAACUAUCAAGUUAUUAAAAACUUUUCUAAUAGUUCAACGACUUAAAUAAAAAUUUUAAAAUGAUUUAAAGACUAUUUUAUAUAUUUUUUAAAAUUAAAGGACCAAAAUAUAAAUUUGGAAUAGUUUAGCCUUUCAAUAUUUGAAGAAAUUACUAGAAAAAGCGAAGAAUAAAACGGAAGAGAGGUUUUUCUUUAGGCCGAAAAAAAACAGAGUUCAAGACCAAUAUUUUGGUCCUAACUUAAAAAAUAAAGAGUCUUAAGCGAACACAGCCAACGUCAACUUCACUUAUAGGGUUUUUAAUUUUCUCUCAUAUUUUCCAGGUAACCUUUUAUUUUUCCUCCUGCCCAAACAGUCCUUUAACUUCAGUUUUUUUUUCUUCAACUUUCAUCUGACUUCUCUAAAAUCUGAUUAACUCUUCAGUUUCUCUGGAAAAUCUGUUUCCUUUCUGUUAUCAUUAUUACAUUAUUAGUUUAUUCUGCUUGCAUUCGUUUUUUACUUUGAUUUUGAUUUCUUUUAAUAAUUUUGUUGGUUUCCGUGUGGAUGAAUAUGCUAUAAUCGGUCAAAAGUUUGGCUUUUUUUCAAGCUUUAAAUUUUGUUUCCAAGAAAUAUCGAUUUGAUCUGUUUGAAGGAAGUGAGGAGAAUUUAUGCUUUUGGACUUAAUUUCUAUUGUUGUUACGCUUAAGAAGUUCUGAUUUUGAUUAAGAUUGUACAUUGGUUACUUUAAUUGUUAAUGUUAAGACGGUUGAAUUUAAUUGUUUUUUUAUUCAGUUAUAAGCAUUUGAUCAAUUAUACUGUUUAGAAAUUUUUUAUAACCUUGUUCUAGGCUAAUUUUAUUUGAGCAUAAAUUCAAAGUUUUUAAGUAUUUUGGUAAACUUGAACUAUCAAAGCUAUCACUUUUAUGGAUACUAGAUUAAGAAUAUUACUGAAAUUAGAUUAUAAAUUCAACACUUUUAUUCAUUUUCUUGUAUUUGAGCUAUGAGUGUUGUUGAAUUUUCAUAUAUGCAACCUUUUUUUUUCUUUAAAAUAUAUAUGUUAAAUAGGUUUCUAAUUGGUGAAGUAAGAAUGUAGCGAGUGUUGAUAGAGUUCUGAGUGUGGAGGUACGUUACAAUCUUUGAGAAUUGUUGGCUCAUAAAUUUUGUUGAUUGAUAGAUAUGGGGUGGCUUAGAGCUGGGUCAAGUGUGGCAAAGCUUGCCAUUAGGAGGACUUUGUCUCAGGGUGGAUCAUAUGCUACAAGAUCACGCAUUGUUCCUUCACAGAGUCGAUAUUUUCACACCACUGUCUUUAAAUCAAAGGCACAGACUGCUCCCGUUCCUCGCCCUGUUCCACUUUCUAAGCUAACUGAUAGUUUCUUAGAUGGAACCAGUAGUGUAUACUUAGAGGAGCUUCAAAGGGCCUGGGAAGCUGACCCAGAUAGUGUUGAUGAGUCGUGGGACAAUUUCUUCAGGAAUUUUGUUGGUCAGGCUGCCACAUCUCCAGGAAUUUCGGGCCAGACCAUUCAGGAGAGUAUGCGAUUGUUAUUACUUGUGAGGGCUUACCAGGUUAAUGGUCACAUGAAAGCGAAGCUGGAUCCGCUGGGUUUAGAGGAAAGGGAAAUCCCUGAUGAUUUGGAUCCAGCUUUUUAUGGUUUUACUGAAGCUGAUCUUGAUAGAGAAUUCUUUCUAGGUGUGUGGAGGAUGGCUGGAUUUUUAUCAGAAAACCGACCCGUGCAGACACUUAGGUCGAUUUUGACUCGGCUUGAGCAGGCUUACUGUGGAAGCAUUGGGUUUGAAUACAUGCACAUUGCUGAGCGUGACAAGUGCAACUGGUUGAGAGACAAGAUUGAAACUCCAACACCAAUGCAGUACAAUCGCCAGCGGCGCGAAGUCAUUCUUGAUAGGCUUAUAUGGAGUACACAGUUUGAAAAUUUCUUGGCUACCAAGUGGACAACAGCCAAGAGGUUUGGGCUAGAAGGGGGUGAAACUUUAAUUCCUGGAAUGAAAGAGAUGUUUGAUAGGGCUGCAGAUCUAGGGGUUGAAAGCAUCGUAAUUGGAAUGCCUCAUAGAGGAAGAUUGAAUGUGCUAGGUAAUGUUGUCCGAAAACCACUUCGUCAAAUAUUUAGUGAGUUCAGUGGUGGUACAAGGCCUGUGGAUGAAGUUGGGCUUUACACAGGAACUGGUGAUGUUAAAUAUCACUUGGGAACUUCCUAUGAUCGACCAACAAGAGGUGGAAAGAGAAUUCAUUUGUCUUUAGUUGCUAACCCCAGUCACUUGGAGGCUGUGGACCCAGUUGUUGUCGGAAAAACUAGAGCAAAGCAGUAUUACUCCAAUGAUGAGGAUAGGACCAAGAACAUGGCUGUUUUGAUUCAUGGAGAUGGCAGCUUUGCUGGACAGGGUGUAGUCUAUGAAACUCUUCAUCUUAGUGCACUUCCAAACUACACUACUGGUGGAACUAUACAUAUUGUAGUCAACAACCAAGUGGCAUUUACAACUGAUCCAAGGGCAGGCAGAUCUUCACAGUAUUGUACUGAUGUUGCCAAAGCUUUGAAUGCUCCCAUUUUCCACGUAAAUGGAGAUGAUGUUGAGGCAGUUGUCCAUGCAUGUGAACUUGCGGCUGAAUGGCGCCAAGCCUUCCAUUCAGAUGUGGUGGUUGAUUUGGUCUGCUACCGUAGAUUUGGGCAUAAUGAGAUUGACGAACCAUCAUUUACACAGCCAAAGAUGUAUAAGGUCUGCAGCCUAUUUACCUUUUUGGCUAUUUAUUUCCCCAUUAGGCAUAUCUUAGUUGGUCCUACCCUUUUUUUUUUUUUGUUUUUUUGUUUUUUAAUAUGUUCCUGAGAAAUUACUUGAACUUCACAUAUGUAAAUUCUUCCGUUUUUUUUUCAACAGAUUAUUCGGAAUCACCCCUCAGCACUUCAGAUCUACCGAAACAAGUUGUUGGAGUCUGGUCAGGUGACAGAUGAAGACAUUGGUAAUAUAAGUCAGAAGGUCAGUACAAUUCUUAAUGAAGAAUUCUUAGGCAGCAAAGAUUAUGUUCCCAAAAGACGGGACUGGCUUUCUGCUUACUGGACGGGAUUCAAGUCACCUGAACAAAUUUCACGUGUUCGGAACACUGGGUAUUUUGGCUUCUUUGUCAAUUUCAACUUUCAUUUUGGUAUCUCUUACUUAUACUUGCUGAUGAAACUUGCAUGUUAUGCAGGGUUAAACCCGAGAUAUUGAAGAAUGUU
Molecule: long non-coding RNA, 25120 nt
Filed under: Gossypium barbadense (sea-island cotton)
Lineage: Eukaryota; Viridiplantae; Streptophyta; Magnoliopsida; Malvales; Malvaceae
Description: long non-coding RNA (GBAR_LNC004629)
Source: RNAcentral